This 253-nucleotide ribosomal RNA is filed under the name uncultured bacterium. RNAcentral describes it as "partial 16S ribosomal RNA". It matches the Rfam family "Bacterial small subunit ribosomal RNA", at positions 524 to 776 of the family's 1533-position model. The record is from RNAcentral.
UACGGGGGGGGCAAGCGUUGUUCGGAAUUACUGGGCGUAAAGGGCGCGUAGGCGGUUCGCUAAGUUGAAUGUGAAAACUCUGGGCUUAACCCAGAGCCUGCAUUCAAUACUGGCGGGCUAGAGUUCUGGAGGGGAUAGCGGAAUUCCUGGUGUAGCGGUGAAAUGCGUAGAUAUCAGGAGGAACACCGGUGGCGAAGGCGGCUAUCUGGACAGAGUCUGACGCUGAUGCGCGAAAGCUAGGGGAGCAAACAGG